UCGAACGCUUUGUCUUUAAUUGAUCUGACGAGCUUGCUCUAAUUUGAUUUUAUCUGACAAAGAGUGGCGAACGGGUGAGUAACACGUGGGUAACCUACCUCUUAGCAGGGGAUAACAUUUGGAAACAAGUGCUAAUACCGUAUAAUACCAACAACCGCAUGGUUGUUGGUUGAAAGAUGGUUCUGUUAUCACUAAGAGAUGGACCCGCGGUGCAUUAGCUAGUUGGUAAGGUAACGGCUUACCAAGGCGACGAUGCAUAGCCGAGUUGAGAGACUGAUCGGCCACAUUGGGACUGAGACACGGCCCAAACUCCUACGGAAGGCAGCAGUAGGGAAUCUUCCACAAUGGACGCAAGUCUGAUGGAGCAACGCCGCGUGAGUGAAGAAGGUUUUCGGAUCGUAAAGCUCUGUUGUUGGUGAAGAAGGAUAGAGGUAGUAACUGGCCUUUAUUUGACGGUAAUCAACCAGAAAGUCACGGCUAACUAC
This 485-nucleotide ribosomal RNA is filed under the name uncultured bacterium. RNAcentral's name for it is "bacterial SSU rRNA". It matches the Rfam family "Bacterial small subunit ribosomal RNA", at positions 62 to 504 of the family's 1533-position model. The record is from RNAcentral.